Molecule: long non-coding RNA, 2973 nt
Filed under: Homo sapiens (human)
Lineage: Eukaryota; Metazoa; Chordata; Mammalia; Primates; Hominidae
Description: HSALNT0291743
Source: RNAcentral
GUGCUAAGCUUAGUGCUCUCUCUCCCACCACCAGUGGCAGAGCCACUGUGUGGGGAGAAACACCUUUUUAUCUUGGAGAGGGGCAGCCUUGUUUCUGAGGACAGAUGGGAGCAAAACGGGACAGGUAGGAAGUUUCGUGGUUUCUCGUGUCGCUUCUCCAAAAUAGCCACACUGCUGCCUCCCACUUCCUGCCUGACUCGGCUGGGGUAGAUUUUCUCCUUUAGAGGAUUUGUGUUCUGUGUAUUCCCAGGGAGGCUCGAAGGGAUCUGUUGCCAAAAACAUGCUUGACACUGAAGCCCUGGAGCUUGGCACUGAGGGCCCCAGCUCAGGUUUGGACCACUGGGUUUGCAUCCGGGCUCUGUCUCAUACUGGCUGCGUGACCUUGGGCAAAUGACUUCACUUCUCUGUGCCUCAUCAGUAGGAUGGAGAUAACAACUCUAGCUAUAUCCAGCAGUUACUCUGCAGAUUAAAUGAAUAUGUGUAAAGGGCACAGCCCAGUGUGGGCACAUAGCAACUCUUAAUGAAUCUCUUAAUAAAAAACAGCAAUGUUGUUGUUGAUCUCCAUCCCCUACCUGGAAAACUGUACCAGCCUCCCAGCCACCUUCCCUUUCCCCUGGCUUGCCUGCUCCAGCACAUCCCAGCAUGAUCCGAGAGUGAUAGAAACGUGAAACACAAAUCUGACCCUGCUAUCUGCUGCUUAAAAUCCACCCAUAGCUUCCAGCGUCUAUGGCAGGAAUGAGCAUUCUUUUGCUCUGAAUGGCCAGAUAGUAUUUGAAGCUUUGCCGGGCAUAUAGUCUCUCUUGACUUUGUCAUUGCAGCCUGGAAGCAACCACAGAUAAUAUGUAAAAAAUGGGCGUGGUUGUGUUCCAGUAAAAUUUUAUGUACGAAAACAGGCAGCCGGCUGGAUUUGCCAACCCUUGACCUACAGGAUGAAUCCAGACCCUUAGCUCAGCAUUCCCAGUUCAGCCUGUUCCCGUUAUCUCCAUCCUUCUUCCUCCCCCACCCCUGCUCUUGUGCAGAACAUGUCACACUUUAAUCCUUUGCGUGUGCUGCUCCCUCUUUCUGAGUUUUCCUUCCCUGCCCCCUGAGUGCCCCUUCCCCAUGGCAUUAGGACCUUUACUCUGGGAUUCUGUGGUACCCUGUCUUUAUUUCUACCCUGGUCAUAUAUGCAAGUUCCAUCUGUCUCUCCAUGAGAGGGGCUCCCCUCUAGGCAGGGAUUCGGCCUUCCUCUUCUGUACACCCAGCAGGGUGCUGCUGUAUAGGUUUCUGCAGGUGCUCAGUAAGCAUUUGUUAUUGAACCCAAGGAUCUGCAAGAUGGAUGGUUGGCCUCAGGGAGCUCACAGUCAGCUUAGAAAGCUAGGAUAUGAGCCAGUCAAAAGCCAGCCAGCAAUCCAGGCAGGAAAUGAUGAUGGUCUGUGUGUUUGGCCCUAACUGAUGUCAAGUGGAGAUUCUGAGCUUGAUAGAGGAAGGGCCUCGGGUGGUCCUCGAGGUGCCGCAGGUGGAAGAAGAACAGGCCAAGGCAAAUGCCUCCGGUACCCAGCACUGCCUGGUGCACAGUAGUGGUUGAUCAGUAAUUGUUGAACCAAUCAGGGUUUCUGUUUGCUUGAAGGAAAGGGUAGGAGUGGAGGGUGAGUGACUGGGUGAAUGGGUGCUAUGAGGACAAAGGAGAGUGGAGUUUAGAGGUAGCACUAGUGUCGCAAGCCUGAAGGUUUACCAGAGACAGAGGGGUGAAAAGAUGAGUGGGGCACUAAGCAUAUUGAAUGUGAGAGCUGCUGGAAAUGCAGGAUUGGGGCGUGCUGGGUGGGGCAGGUGAUGUGUGCAGCUGUGGAAGCUGCUACCAAGUCAAGCAUUUUCAGAUGGACAUGCUUAGGCAGGAAGGAACAAGGCUUGGCUCCUGGCCUGGGGAGAGUUAACCUCCUGGCCCGGCAUUGCAUAACCGCAGAGUCUGCUGAGCGCAAGGAGACUCUUCUGUGUGGCAGCCAGAGUGGCAAGCCUGGUGGCUCCGGGCUCUGGCACCAUCCCGCAGCGGAACAAACAGCCCUCCCUUCCCAGAUAAUGGCCCUCAUUGAGCAUUGUGUCCAUGGCCAGCACCCAGCACAGGGCAGCUCAGCCUGGAAUGGAACCAUCUAAGCCCUUGGGACUUGCACCCUCUGUUGAGCUUUGAGAUCAUCUCAGAAAUGGUACUCUCCCUGCAGACUCAGAGCCUUUAGACUCAGGGCUGGUGGCCCUUGACACGCCUCUCUCACCACCAGAUAAUUAUAUUUUCAGGCAGCUGUUCCUUGGGGAGGAAUAUUGAGUGCCGUCCCAUGUGCUAUCUGUUUCUGACCAUUCUGAUUCUGCUGCUGACCUCAGACUGCCCAUGUUGUGGCUACCUCUCCCAUCUGAGUCCCUGCACUGCCCAGUCACAGACAUCUGCUGCCGGACGCCACACUGCCCUGAUGGCUCAGAGCGGCCAGCUCCAACCUGCGUGAUCUCACAGGCAUUGUGGCCUGGGCGUCAGGGUGCUGUGAGAAACACCAGGAAACACUGAUAUUUUUAGUGCAAAUGAUGAAAAACGUUAUGCUAAGUGAAAGAAGCCAGACACAAAAGGACAUAUGGCGGGUGAUUCCAUUUUUAUGAAAUGUCCAGAUAAGGCAAAUUUAUAGAGAUGGAAACUAGAUGAAUUAGUGGCUGCCAGGGGCUGGAGGGAAGGGAAUGUGGAGUGAUUGCUAAUGGGUACAGGAUUUCUUUUCAGAGUGAUACAUGUGUUCUGGAAUUACAUCAUUGGGAUGGUUGCACAACCCUGUGAAUUUUAUGGUAUGUGAAUUGUAUCUCAAUAUUUGAAUAAUCAAAUGACUAGACAGCAUUUAAAGAGUUAUGUUUAUGAGAAAGAUACUCAAAGUUUACACAAUUCUACUCAUUAGCAAAUUAAUACACCCCUUUUUUCAGAAGGAAUUAAAGUGACUUCUGCAAACUAUUAACUGAAGCUUUCCA